Molecule: long non-coding RNA, 2922 nt
Filed under: Anthonomus grandis grandis
Lineage: Eukaryota; Metazoa; Arthropoda; Insecta; Coleoptera; Curculionidae
Description: uncharacterized LOC126748120
Source: RNAcentral
GUUUAUAAUCCUGAAUUAAAAAAAAAUUCAUAAACUUUAUAAAUAUAAUAAUGCUCCAAACCUUGUUGACUGAAGGUAUUUAUGAAAAUUGAAAACGCUUCUUGCCGUUUCCCAGAUUCAAUUAUGAUAACGGGAAAUAUUUCUUGUUAUCAUUUAAUGGAUUGCACUUAAUGCUCUUCUUACAUUACUUUUAAGAAUCAUAUUUACAUUAUCUGCCCUUGCCAUUUCGCCCUUAUUAUUUAAUACGCCAUUACUUACACCCUUAAUUCAUUAAAACAUGAUCCCGCGAAAGUCGGGUAAUAAUAUGACAACAUCCAACAUUAUUAUCUGAGAGCGUGAAAGAUGGCGGGGGCGUUCUAUUAAAAUGCGCCUGUUUAAACUUGUUGUCAUUUAUAAGGCUUUGUGUUAUCCCCCGAUAUUUUAAAAUCCGGUAACUACAUCGUCAAUCUUCAUAGCCGUCGGGCGAACCUAAUAUGUCACGGAGGUGUGCCGUAAUGCUCUAUUUUUCCUCGACAACCUCCAUAUUGGCUAAAGCAAAAUUAAGCGAUAGGAUAUUGAUUUCGCAGUGAAUUUGAUAAAUGCAGGAAGUGGAAGAUUAAUGUAUGUUAUACUUACGUUGCGUUAGCUACUGAAACAAUUUGAAACUUAACAGAUUUGUUCUACAUACAUUAAGACAAUGUCGAAAAGCGUAUCUCUUCCUCUUCCACAAUAGUAUUCUGUGAUCCACCCAGUCAAAAGCCUCCACACAGCCUUGGAUAUGUCACAGAAGACUGCUGCAGCAACUUCACCGAAGUUAAGAGUACUAUAAAGAAAUUGAAGAAAAUUAUGAAAUCCAAAGUUUAUGAAUGUUAAAUCUCUUCAAAAAAGAUAUCAUUCUCACCUUCACCAAUCUUAGAUAUGGUAGGGAGAGAAGUAGUUGGUCUAAAGUUAUAAGGAUGACUGCAGUUUCCUCCUUAUGAACAGGAACAAUAAUUGAUUUUUUAAGGUAAUCGGGAAAUGUAUUUGAAGUGAAAAAAUCAUUGAAUGAAUCUACAAUUCCUGAAGGGAAGGAGUUUGGAGACAAUAGAGUAAUCUGCUAACCCCAGAGGUUCAUCUUGCUUAAACCAAUGUCCUGCAAGGAUUCCAAUAUUUGGGAAUCCCAGAGAAUCCAUAAAUAACUAAUUUACCUUAUUUAUAACAAACUGAAUAUUCAAUAAGAUUAAACUGGUGGAGCCUCCUUUGGACCUUCAUCUAAAAAACUGCCACUCUCGCAAUCAAUUACAGUGCUGAGGUUCUCUAUAUUUACAGGUUCGUCAAUUACGUGAGCGUCAAAAUUAAAAUUGGUUGGUAUUGAUUUUAUCACAAUCCUCUUGGAGACAAUAUUAUUGCACUUCACAUAAAAGGGCAACAUGCAUAGAGUGGCGAAAUAUAUUAUAAGUGGAAACCAUUUCUUACUGUUAUUAAGUUAUGAGAAGGAUGUUAAAACCGCACCUUCAUCGUAGCGGUAUAACAUGAUUAGAAAUCAUUAGAAAUAGGGAGACAAAGGAGAAUCAUAAGGUAACCGCGAAAAUAAUCAAAAAAUAAAGAGCAACCGGCAAUUUUCAUAAAUAAAACAUUAAAGCAAUAGCUUAAGGAAGCCAAGUAACAAUUUUAAGGCACUCUUUGGGUUUUAUAUCGGAGACCAUAAACCCGCUCGGGUGUCUUUUUUUUUACAUUCGGAUUUAAGCCGCGCCACGAGGUUACUGCAAUAAUGCGAGAGCACUUCGUGCUUUACCUUUUUCCAUUAUUCAUUCGUUUGGGUGGCGGAAUCGCAACAAAUAUUUAAAUGGUCUAGUUUCCAUUGUUAAAGGGAAUAUCUUCGGCCGUACGGUACGUAUUCAAAUUCGCCGCAUCUGGUUAACCACCUACGGAAUAUAUGACCCCUUGGUUGCCUCGAAUAGCCAGCCGAGGAUGCUCCUCCUUGCGGGGAUCCGAUAUUCUUAUCUUCUAUGAUUCAUGGUUUCCCAGAGAAUCCAUUUAUUCAAUCCAGAGUGAUUCCUAGAGUGUUGCUUGAAACUGAAGGUAUUUAAGUAUUUCCAAGUCCAAGAUUUUAUUUUCUUGUUUGUAGGCUCGCUUCAAGAAUUUUACCUCCAAGUUGUCAAACUCUGUUAAACCAUGCUCCAAAGACCUAGUAUAGAAAAAGCGAUUCUUUGAAUUAAAAUUCAAUUACUUAUGCAGGGUAUGUUUAAUUAACCAGAACAGAACUGUUAAUAUGAAACAAUCUUCCACUACAUAAACUAUUUCAUUCAAAAAAACAUGACUAAACGGUCAUAAAAUAUCACCUCAUUCAUAACCAUAUUAUACUCAUUUACUCCAAGAACAGUUUCAUAAUAUAAAAGUUUCGGGGUCUUAUACCUGUCCGGCUUCCAUCUAAAAUCUCAGGUAAAUCUUUAUUCAAGCCCCCUGAAGAAAUUUAUUAGCUUCUGUGACAACUGCGACUAACAUGGUUAUAAAUUAUUUAAUCUUGUAUGUUGAGGGCAGGUAUAAAAAAAAUCUUUAUUUCAGCGCUUGUUAUGCCGUCUGUCAUGAGUCCGUUUUUUUCACUUCAGCGUCUUGCACAUUUUUUCGUCCAUACAAGCGAUUCCUAAUGGCGUAAAUAAGUGUUUAUGGUUUGAUGUACGGCUAGUUCACCUGAAUCGCGAUAACUUAUUAAAAAGUUGCUUCAUGAAAGAAUCAUGUAACAUCAAUCAGGUGUCACUCAUGAGUUCUCAGAACCACUCAUUUUUUAUAAACCUCCUAUUAAUAAUUAUAAUAUAUUUUAUAAGAGAAACCAAAUGUUUACAAAGUAUAGUUUGAUCGCGCGUGCCUUAUCCCGGUUUUUAUAAGUUUUUCUAUCUGUACUCGUGCAUGGGCUAUUAAACCAUUGUCCGAUAAACUUUUUACUGAUUUUUUUUUAUCAGAAAC